RNAcentral lists this ribosomal RNA (252 nucleotides) under uncultured bacterium. RNAcentral's name for it is "partial 16S ribosomal RNA". It matches the Rfam family "Bacterial small subunit ribosomal RNA", at positions 524 to 776 of the family's 1533-position model. The record is from RNAcentral.
UACGUAGGUGGCAAGCGUUAUCCUGAUUUAUUGGGCGUAAAGCGAGCGCAGGUGGUUUAUUAAGUCUGGUGUAAAAGGCAGUGGCUCAACCAUUGUAUGCAUUGGAAACUGGUAGACUUGAGUGCAGGAGAGGAGAGUGGAAUUCCAUGUGUAGCGGUGAAAUGCGUAGAUAUAUGGAGGAACACCGGUGGCGAAAGCGGCUCUCUGGCCUGUAACUGACACUGAGGCUCGAAAGCGUGGGGAGCAAACAGG